AUUAAUAAUCAUGUCGGGCUAUGAAACAACCAAAGAUAAAUAUACCACUGGUAAGAUCCACUUUAUCCUAAAGUUAAUUAUUAAUUCUCCAUAACAUUACUGUUACAGUGACAGAAUCACUUCCAUUCCAUGUUUCUCUGACCCUUCUUCUUUUGCCAAUUACAAAGCCUUUUCUUUUCAACCUGUUUUGUUUUCUUUUAUGUACUAUUGAAAACUUGAAUCAACAUAAACAUAAAAACCAUAAAACUAAAUUACAAGAAUCAACAUUGUUUGUUUGUCUUGAAAGUUGGAAAAAUCAAUGGCUACUAACAAGU
RNAcentral lists this long non-coding RNA (314 nucleotides) under Trifolium pratense (red clover). Its description in RNAcentral is "long non-coding RNA (TPRA_LNC004096)". Lineage: Eukaryota; Viridiplantae; Streptophyta; Magnoliopsida; Fabales; Fabaceae. The record is from RNAcentral.